AAAGACGGAACGAACGCAACUGUGGG
RNAcentral lists this small RNA (26 nucleotides) under Bombyx mori (domestic silkworm). Its description in RNAcentral is "ovarian small RNA-10054". Lineage: Eukaryota; Metazoa; Arthropoda; Insecta; Lepidoptera; Bombycidae. The record is from RNAcentral.